UACGGAGGGUGCAAGCGUUAAUCGGAAUUACUGGGCGUAAAGCGUGUGCAGGCGGUUUGUUAAGUCCGGUGUGAAAGCCCCGAGCUCAACUUGGGAAUUGCAGUGGAUACUGGCAGGCUGGAGUACGGUAGAGGAAGGUGGAAUUCCCGGUGUAGCAGUGAAAUGCGUAGAUAUCGGGAGGAACACCAGUGGCGAAGGCGGCCUUCUGGACCAGUACUGACGCUCAUGCACGAAAGCGUGGGGAGCAAACAGG
Molecule: ribosomal RNA, 253 nt
Filed under: uncultured bacterium
Lineage: Bacteria
Description: partial 16S ribosomal RNA
Rfam family: Bacterial small subunit ribosomal RNA
Source: RNAcentral